Molecule: long non-coding RNA, 659 nt
Organism: Pseudophryne corroboree (corroboree frog)
Lineage: Eukaryota; Metazoa; Chordata; Amphibia; Anura; Myobatrachidae
Exons: 5
Source: RefSeq, a predicted model, not a curated record
AGUUGAAGAGCACCAGUGCAGACGUGUAAGAAGAACCUAUGUUUUCAAAUCAGUGAAGAUGUGGCCACCUUUCCAGAGAAUUGGAGCAAGUCCAGAAGUAUGGGGAAGCAGCAGAAGAACCUAGCACUACCCUGGACAUAUCAUCUGGCAAAGAGAUUUGCAGAGUGUCGGGUGACCGGCAAAGAGAUCUGCAAAGUGUCAGUUGAAGACGACAGGAGGGGUCGCAGAGGUACUGUAGCAACGACUGGAGUAUAACAUGCAGGAGAUCAUCAUUUGGCAAAGUUCUGGCAAAGAGAUUUGCAGAGUGUCGGGUGACCGGCAAAGAGAUCUGUAAAGUGUCAGUUGAAGACGACGGGAGGGGUCACGGAGGAAUUAGUGACUGGAGAAUAGCAUGCAGGAGUGGGUGAUCCCUGAAUAGCUGCCCUGGAAGGAGAGCUGCGGACACAUGCUCCAAAUGUUGGAACAUAUGCAUUACCUAUUAGGAGAUACGGUAAAGAUGCCGGCUGUCGGGUUUACGGCAGUCAGAAUACUGACACUGGGAUCCCGACACUCUUCAGAAUCCCGACGUUGGAACUCCGAAUGGGCAAGGAUACUGAUGCCCAUAUCCCCACGAUCAUAGGUUUAGGGCUGGGCAAGGGGAUUAAGGUUUAGGCAUCAAG